RNAcentral lists this ribosomal RNA (429 nucleotides) under Bacteroidota bacterium. RNAcentral's name for it is "Bacteroidetes bacterium partial 16S ribosomal RNA". It matches the Rfam family "Bacterial small subunit ribosomal RNA", at positions 355 to 776 of the family's 1533-position model. Lineage: Bacteria; Pseudomonadati; Bacteroidota. The record is from RNAcentral.
UAGGGAAUCUUCCGCAAUGGACGCAAGUCUGACGGAGCAACGCCGCGUGAGUGAAGAAGGAUUUCGGUUCGUAAAACUCUGUUGUUAGAGAAGAACAGCGCAUAGAGUAACUGUUAUGCGUGUGACGGUAUCUAACCGGAAAGCCACGGCUAACUACGUGCCAGCAGCCGCGGUAAUACGUAGGUGGCAAGCGUUGUCCGGAUUUAUUGGGCGUAAAGCGAGCGCAGGCGGUCAAUUAAGUCUGAUGUGAAAGCCCCCGGCUCAACCGGGGAGGGUCAUUGGAAACUGGUUGACUUGAGUGCAGAAGAGGAGAGUGGAAUUCCAUGUGUAACGGUGAAAUGCGUAGAUAUAUGGAGGAACACCAGUGGCGAAGGCGACUCUCUGGUCUGUAACUGACGCUGAGGCUCGAAAGCGUGGGUAGCAAACAGG